GCAUAUCAAUAAGCCGAGGAAAAGAAACUAACAAGGAUUCCCCUAGUAGCGGCGAGCGAAGCGGGAAGAGCUCAAAUUUAUAAUCUGGCACCUUCGGUGUCCGAGUUGUAAUCUCUAGAAGUGUUUUCCGCGUUGGACCGCACACAAGUCUGUUGGAAUACAGCGGCAUAGUGGUGAAACCCCCGUAUAUGGUGCGGACGCCCAGCGCUUUGUGAUACACUUUCAAUGAGUCGAGUUGUUUGGGAAUGCAGCUCAAAUUGGGUGGUAAAUUCCAUCUAAAGCUAAAUAUUGGCGAGAGACCGAUAGCGAACAAGUACCGUGAGGGAAAGAUGAAAAGCACUUUGGAAAGAGAGUUAACAGUACGUGAAAUUGUUGGAAGGGAAACGCUUGAAGUCAGACUUGCUUGCCGGAGCUUGCUUCGGUUUGCAGGCCAGCAUCAGUUUUCCGGGGUGGAUAAUAACGGUUUGAAGGUAGCAGUCUCGGCUGUGUUAUAGCUUUCCGUUGGAUACAUCCUGGGGGACUGAGGAACGCAGCGUGCUUUUUGCGAAAGACUCGUCUUUUUCACGCUUAGGAUGCUGGUGGAAUGGCUUUAAACGACCCGUCUUGAAACACGGACC
Molecule: ribosomal RNA, 617 nt
Filed under: uncultured fungus
Lineage: Eukaryota; Fungi
Description: LSU rRNA
Rfam family: Eukaryotic large subunit ribosomal RNA
Source: RNAcentral